Molecule: transfer RNA, 73 nt
Filed under: Populus tomentosa
Lineage: Eukaryota; Viridiplantae; Streptophyta; Magnoliopsida; Malpighiales; Salicaceae
Description: tRNA-Tyr
Rfam family: tRNA
About the family: Transfer RNA (tRNA) molecules are approximately 80 nucleotides in length. Their secondary structure includes four short double-helical elements and three loops (D, anti-codon, and T loops).
Source: RNAcentral
CCGACCUUAGCUCAGUUGGUAGAGCGGAGGACUGUAGAUCCUUAGGUCGCUGGUUUGAAUCCGGCUGGUCGGA